RNAcentral lists this ribosomal RNA (467 nucleotides) under uncultured bacterium. RNAcentral's name for it is "partial 16S ribosomal RNA". It matches the Rfam family "Bacterial small subunit ribosomal RNA", at positions 28 to 507 of the family's 1533-position model. The record is from RNAcentral.
GACGAACGCUGGCGGCGUGCUUAACACAUGCAAGUCGAACGGAAAGGCCUCUUUCGGGGGGUACUCGAGUGGCGAACGGGUGAGUAACACGUGAGUAACCUGCCCUUGACUUUGGGAUAACUUCAGGAAACUGGGGCUAAUACCGGAUAGGAGCUCCUGCUGCAUGGUGGGGGUUGGAAAGUUUCGGCGGUUGGGGAUGGACUCGCGGCUUAUCAGCUUGUUGGUGGGGUAGUGGCUUACCAAGGCUUUGACGGGUAGCCGGCCUGAGAGGGUGACCGGCCACAAUGGGACCGAGAUACGGCCCAGACUCCUACGGGAGGCAGCAGGGGGGAAUAUUGCACAAUGGGUGGAAGCCUGAUGCAGCAACGCCGUGUGCGGGAUGACGGCCUUCGGGUUGGAAACCGCUUUCGCUCAUGACGAAGCUUUGUGUGACGGUAGUGGGUAAAGAAGCACCGGCUAACUACGUG